This 358-nucleotide long non-coding RNA is filed under the name Mytilus galloprovincialis (Mediterranean mussel). The record is from RNAcentral. Lineage: Eukaryota; Metazoa; Mollusca; Bivalvia; Mytilida; Mytilidae.
GUGCUGUUAAAGCCUGAAAAUCGUUCUGAAUGAAAGUUUGUAUGAAAUGAUAUUCAGGGGUAUGCUUUUGACAGACAUGUACAACUUGUUUCAGUUCUUUCAAAGGAAUACCACAACUACUGCAUAACACACAUAUAUCCUCAUAACCAAACUUCAGGUCAUCGAAAUCGAAAUAUGACUUAGAAACAUAAUGUCAACUUAAAAAAAUCCUGUGUCACUGCUCUCAUAUAUAAUUGACUGUUUUUAAUCUUGACAAUAGUUUAGAAAGACAUCUUCCACGUAAAUUUCUUAACUAUUGAGAGAACAAACAAUACAGGAACCUUGAUUGUCAUUUGUUGAUGUGGUUCAUAAGUGUAUC